AGAGUUUGAUCAUGGCUCAGAAUGAACGCUGGCGGCGUGCCUAACACAUGCAAGUCGAGCGAGAAAGUCUCUUCGGAGAUAAGUACAGCGGCGGACGGGUGAGUAACGCGUGAGAAUUUACCCUUUAGUGAAGAAUACCUCUGAGAAAUCAGGGUUAAUACUGCAUACGUCCCUACGGGGAGAAAGGUGGCCUUCUUUGCUGCCGACUAAAGGAUAAGCUUGCGUACUAUUAGCUAGUUGGUGAGGUAAAGGCUCACCAAGGCGAUGAUGGUUAGCCGGCCUGAGAGGGUGUACGGCCACACUGGAACUUAGACACGGUCCAGACUCCUACGGGAGGCAGCAGUGAGGAAUAUUGCGCAAUGGGCGAAAGCCUGACGCAGCGACGCCGCGUGGAGGAUGAAGGUCUUCGGAUUGUAAACUCCUGUUAAGUGGGAAGAAAGACCUAUUUCUAAUACAGAUAGGGGAUGACGGUACCAUUAGAGAAAGCACCGGCUAACUUCGUG
RNAcentral lists this ribosomal RNA (503 nucleotides) under uncultured bacterium. Its description in RNAcentral is "bacterial SSU rRNA". It matches the Rfam family "Bacterial small subunit ribosomal RNA", at positions 8 to 507 of the family's 1533-position model. The record is from RNAcentral.